This 253-nucleotide ribosomal RNA is filed under the name uncultured bacterium. RNAcentral describes it as "partial 16S ribosomal RNA". It matches the Rfam family "Bacterial small subunit ribosomal RNA", at positions 524 to 776 of the family's 1533-position model. The record is from RNAcentral.
UACGUAGGUGGCAAGCGUUGUCCGGAUUUAUUGGGCGUAAAGCGCGCGCAGGCGGUCCUUUAAGUCUGAUGUGAAAGCCCACGGCUCAACUGUGGAGGGUCAUUGGAAACUGGGGGGCUUGAGUGCAGAAGAGGAGAGCGGAAUUCCACGUGUAGCGGUGAAAUGCGUAGAGAUGUGGAGGAACACCAGUGGCGAAGGCGGCUUUCUGGUCUGUAACUGACGCUGAGGCGCGAAAGCGUGGGGAGCAAACAGG